RNAcentral lists this transfer RNA (71 nucleotides) under Camelus bactrianus (Bactrian camel). It matches the Rfam family "tRNA". From Rfam's summary of the family: Transfer RNA (tRNA) molecules are approximately 80 nucleotides in length. RNAcentral also lists the same sequence under 2 other names. Lineage: Eukaryota; Metazoa; Chordata; Mammalia; Artiodactyla; Camelidae. The record is from Rfam by way of RNAcentral.
GUGGUAAUACCUCAGUGGUAGAGUACAUGCUUAGCAUGCAAGAAGUCCUGGGUUCAAUCCCCAGUACCUCC